CGGGUGAGUAACGCGUAAGUAAUCUACCCUCGCAUUUGGGAUAACCCACCGAAAGGUGUGCUAAUACCGGAUACGUCUAUUUUAAUAUCUUUUUUUAUAGAGAAAGGUGGCCUCUGAUUCAAGCUACUGUGCGGGGAGGAGCUUGCGUACCAUUAGCUAGUUGGUAGGGUAAUGGCCUACCAAGGCAACGAUGGUUAGCGGGUCUGAGAGGAUGAUCCGCCACACUGGAACUGAAACACGGACCAG
RNAcentral lists this ribosomal RNA (246 nucleotides) under uncultured bacterium. RNAcentral's name for it is "partial 16S ribosomal RNA". It matches the Rfam family "Bacterial small subunit ribosomal RNA", at positions 103 to 334 of the family's 1533-position model. The record is from RNAcentral.